GGCAAAUUCGACGGGCUUACACAUGCAAGUCGAGGGGCAGCGGGGGCAGCAAUGCCUGCCGGCGACCGGCGCACGGGUGAGUAACGCGUAUGCAACUUGCCUAUCAGAGGGGAAUAGCCCGGCGAAAGUCGGAUUAAUGCUCCAUAAAACAGGGGUCCCGCAUGGGAAUAUUUGUUAAAGAUUCAUCGCUGAUAGAUAGGCAUGCGUUCCAUUAGGCAGUUGGCGGGGUAACGGCCCACCAAACCGACGAUGGAUAGGGGUUCUGAGAGGAAGGUCCCCCACAUUGGAACUGAGACACGGUCCAAACUCCUACGGGAGGCAGCAGUGAGGAAUAUUGGUCAAUGGCCGGGAGGCUGAACCAGCCAAGUCGCGUGAAGGAUGAAGGAUCUAUGGUUUGUAAACUUCUUUUAUACGGGAAUAAAGUGUGGGACGUGUCCCAUUUUGUAUGUACCGUAUGAAUAAGCAUCGGCUAACUCCGUGCCAGCAGCCGCGGUAAUACGGAGGAUGCGAGCGUUAUCCGGAUUUAUUGGGUUUAAAGGGUGCGUAGGUGGUUGUUUAAGUCAGCGGUGAAAGUUUGUGGCUCAACCAUAAAAUUGCCGUUGAAACUGGAUGACUUGAGUAUAUUUGAGGUAGGCGGAAUGCGUGGUGUAGCGGUGAAAUGCAUAGAUAUCACGCAGAACUCCGAUUGCGAAGGCAGCUUACUAAACUAUAACUGACACUGAAGCACGAAAGCGUGGGGAUCAAACAGGAUUAGAUACCCUGGUAGUCCACGCAGUAAACGAUGAUUACUAGGAGUUUGCGAUAGACAGUAAGCUCUACAGCGAAAGCGUUAAGUAAUCCACCUGGGGAGUACGCCGGCAACGGUGAAACUCAAAGGAAUUGACGGGGGCCCGCACAAGCGGAGGAACAUGUGGUUUAAUUCGAUGAUACGCGAGGAACCUUACCCGGGUUUGAACGCAUUCGGACCGGAGUGGAACGCUCCUUUCACCAUGACCGUUU
RNAcentral lists this ribosomal RNA (999 nucleotides) under Parabacteroides pekinense. Its description in RNAcentral is "16S ribosomal RNA". It matches the Rfam family "Bacterial small subunit ribosomal RNA", at positions 28 to 1032 of the family's 1533-position model. The record is from RNAcentral. Lineage: Bacteria; Pseudomonadati; Bacteroidota; Bacteroidia; Bacteroidales; Tannerellaceae.